This 350-nucleotide ribosomal RNA is filed under the name uncultured bacterium. RNAcentral describes it as "bacterial SSU rRNA". It matches the Rfam family "Bacterial small subunit ribosomal RNA", at positions 8 to 350 of the family's 1533-position model. The record is from RNAcentral.
AGAGUUUGAUCAUGGCUCAGGAUGAACGCUAGCUACAGGCUUAACACAUGCAAGUCGAGGGGAAACGACAUCGAAAGCUUGCUUUUGAUGGGCGUCGACCGGCGCACGGGUGAGUAACACGUAUCCAACCUGCCCACCACUUGGGGAUAACCUUGCGAAAGUAAGACUAAUACCCAAUGAUAUCUCUAGAAGACAUCUGAAAGAGAUUAAAGAUUUAUCGGUGAUGGAUGGGGAUGCGUCUGAUUAGCUUGUUGGCGGGGUAACGGCCACAAGGCGACGAUCAGUAGGGGUUCUGAGAGGAAGGUCCCCCANAUUGGAACUGAGACACGGUCCAAAUCCUACGGGAGGCA